GGGCGUUUAGUGUAGUUGGUUAUCACGCAUGAUUUGCAUUCAUGAGGUCUCUGGUUCGACUCCGGAAUCGUCCA
Nadsonia fulvescens var. elongata DSM 6958 is the source of this 74-nucleotide transfer RNA. It matches the Rfam family "tRNA". From Rfam's summary of the family: Transfer RNA (tRNA) molecules are approximately 80 nucleotides in length. Their secondary structure includes four short double-helical elements and three loops (D, anti-codon, and T loops). NCBI's taxonomy places the organism in Eukaryota, Fungi, Ascomycota, Dipodascomycetes, Dipodascales. The record is from Rfam.